CAAUGCCUGACCUGGGUGAAUUCAAGAGGGAAUGCAAAGAACAAAAUUGGAGACAUCAAAUAUAUCCUACUUUUUCAAAGAAAUUUGAUGCAGAAAGGAAGAUAGAAAUGAAUUGGUCACCAGAGGAAAAGUAAAGUCAAAACACUGAUUUUUUUUUUUUCAUUAUUGCUAUGUUACUGUUAUUUUUGAUAGAAGUGAUCUGUAUUUAUAGAAUGCUGGGAAUAAUCUAAUACAGGGGAAAACUUGCUGAUGAGAGAGAAGAGAGAAGAAUUGCUGAGACAGUGCCAAUGAGUAGGCAGCAGAAGAUAUGAUCUAGGGCACAAAUAAAGAGAUUGACCUUAGCCAGAACAUGGACACCUGGGUUAACAGAACAGAAGAUUGGACACAGAUUCAGGUAAGGAAACCAUUCAGAUGUGUGUACCCGUAGAGUCUCUUAACAUUGUUUUAUAUUCUAUAAGACUGAAAAGUAAAGCAGGAAGUGAAAUAAUCAGCUAGAGUAAUAACAGGAUGGUGCUGAUCCAAGGACAGAUGAAAAGUAGAAAGCACUUGGGAGACAGGGAGGGCAGAUGAACUAGGAACAUGCAAUAUAACUCCUGGGAAGUAUUUAGAACCCAUUCGUAGUUACUGAUCACAAAUUUAAAGUCAAUCAGUAUGUUUGUGUGUUUUUCUUUCUAAUACAGGAGCAGAAUAGGUCUAAGAGAAGCUUUCUAUAAAGUAAUAGAGACAGAUGUUGAGUUGAGAUGACUUGAAAAAGAACUGGUUCCAGAAAUCUUACUGAAAAACACAGCUCCCAAAUGACUCAACAUUUGAAGGGAAGCAUGAGAUUAGAGAUGUAAACUCCUCUCUUAAAGGUGGGAAACAUGGAUUGAGAGAUGCAUAGAAAGGAGUAACCUGAUGAUGCAGAAGAGAGGGUCAUGGAAGGUCUUGGAGCCCUGAUAAGAUGACAGAACAUAGAACACAGAACAAGUGCAGAAAUCAGUUGGCUUACUAGAGGCACAGGUUUGAGUAGAUUUGUAUGGAAUAUCAGUGGGAAGAUCUUCUGCUCUGAGCUUCUAUUUUUCUAUUUUUUUAGAUUGAUAAAUGAAAAAAUUAUAUGUAAUUAUUGUGUACAAAAUGUUGUUUUGAAUGUGCAUACAGUGUGGAAUGGUUAAAUCAAACUAUUUAACAUAUUCAUUUUGUCAAAUAUAAUUUUUCUCAGGAUAGUACAUAAAAUCCACUUUAUUAGCAAUUUUUAAAAAUAUAAUACAUUGUUAUUAACCAUGUUCACCCUGAUGCAUAAUAGAUCUCUUGAAUUUGUUCCUCCUAGCUGAUUUUCUUGGUCCUUUGGCAAACAUCUCCCAAAGCCCCCAAUACCUAGCCUUUGUAAACACUAUUCUGCUCUAUUUUUGUGAGUUCAACUUUUUUCACUCCACUUAUGAGAUCAUGUGACAUCUCUUUUGUCUGGCUUAUUUCACUUAACAUAAUGUCUCCAGGUUCAACCAGUUGUCACAAAGGACAGGAUUUCCUUAUUUUUUUUAUGGCUGAAUAGUGCUCCAUUGUGUCUACAUUCCACAUUUUCUUUAUCCAUUUAUCCAGUGAUAGAAACUUAGAUGGACUCCAUAUGUUGGCUGCUGUAAAUAAUGCUGUAAACAACAUGGGAGCUCUUUGACAUACUGAUUUCAUUUCCUUUGGAUACAUACCCAGUCCUGGGAUAACUGGAUCCUAUUUUGUUAAUGAUAAUAAGAUGAGGUCAUUAGUAGAAAAGAAGAGGGGAGGUGUAGGAAAUUGAAGGAGAGAGGAGACAGUAUUAAAUAACUCUCUUCACAGGAUAGGCAAUUGUACUUAACUCUGGUAGCACAGCAUGAUUCCUGGCCAACAUCAUUAAAUGCCCAUUUGAGGUUUGUUACCCAGGAUGUCAAGUUAAAACCACUGUUUUAAAAUUAAAAUAGUCAAUCUGGUUCUGUGAUUUUCUUCGGCAAGUGGCUACUGAAAAGCUAAAGAGGGGUAUCCUAAGGGGGACCCACAAGUCUAUUGGUCUCCAAUUAUGAGAAUACCCUAUCUCUAGAUCCAAGGAAGGGUAGCAGAAAGUAGAACCAGAGGGUGACCUUAUGUGUUAUUCUGACUGCUGAUCGUUUUAAAUGAGUUUCUAUUUUAAGAGCCUGGAUGUCAAUAGAGCUUAAUUUAAUCAGUUUCUUACAGGUUAAAAAGGAAAUUGAAAAUCCAAGUGAGUACUGAGACAUAUUUUCAUCAGAAGCUCAGACUAACAGCUAAGAGUAUUAAAGGCAAAGUAGGAGGAUGGCUUCUCGAUUUAUUCCAAGACAGCUGUGACCUUGCAGAUUCUUUGACUGGAAUCCUAUCUAUCUGGAUCUUAUCAGGAUCUGCUGGGUACUUGUUGGGGAAUCUCUCCUUGCCCUGACCUAUCACUUCUGGGAAUGGUCACAGAAUCAUCAAUCCUGACUUUAGUACAAGGAGAUUUUAGGAGCUCUAACCCAGAGCUCAGUGGUUCCUAACCCCCUUACUCUGGCUAGGAAGCCUUUUAUAAUGUCUCUUUAGUUAUUCUCCCGGGUUCCUUUCUUACCGCUCCAGUUAUAUUACACUACCUAUAGAUUCUCCCACAACUCAUACUUCCAAGAAAUUCUCCUCUUCCAUCUAUAACACCCUUCACUGUCUUAUCCACCUGGGGAAUUGUUAUUGGACUCCAAAAUAUCACCUCUUCAUGUUUUCUUUGAUUCCCUCCAUCCUUAAUUUUUCCACCAGAACCUCAUAUUGGGCUUUAGAAGCUCUUGCCACAUUAUGUUGUGAUUUCUGUGUCUGUCUAUCACAGUGUUCCUGAAGGACUGUGUCCAAUUUAUCCCUGGAGGCCUAGAACUUAACACAAUGCCUUGCAUUUGAAAAGCACUUAUGUUUGAUAAAUAACAGCAUCAGACCCAACUUAUUGUAGGAAAAAACAACAGAUUUAGAAAGACACUUUUUACACUUUCCCUAAGAUCAAACCCCAAACUAUUUCAAGAUCUAUAGAUCUAUAGAUUUUUAAGAUUCGGGAAGCUAGUAUAGUGAAGUAGUUAAGUUAGAGACCUGGAAUUGAAACUUGGUGCCACCAUUCAUUAGUCAAGUGGCACCUCAGUUACCUCUUUUUCCCUGCAUUACUGCAUAUGCUUAAUGAUAAAUAUAAGAUAAUUGACUUCAUAAGAUUACUGUAUUUACUGUAAAUAUUACAUGAGACAGUGGAUGCAAUAUAUGCUUAAGUCAAUGUUUUCAGUGCUUGGCACAUAAAGGGUGACAAACAUUCGUUAAGUUACCAUGAUCAGUCUUGUGAAUCCUAAUUAUCUGCAAGUUAGAUUCUUGCUGAUGUGUCUGUGUCUGAACCCUUAUCUUGAGAUUAUAAGCAUUGUAUUUGCUCAGCAAAUGCAUCUCUGCCUUGCCUUCUCUUCCUUCCCAUCCAUACUACCUCCCCAAGAGGUCUGCUCUUCCAAAGGUAGGAGACUGGCACUGGUUAGCAAAUCUCACUCCUCUUCACCAUCUGCCUGCAUCUUUAAACACUACUGCGUGAAAGUUCCCAGUCACCAUGCUCCACCUGCCUGCCUCAGUGGGCACUGCCAUCUCUGGUGGGGUCUCCUCUUGACUCCAGCUUCUUUGCCGGCUUUCCUUCCCAGCUGUCUGUACCCAGACUCAGCCUUCCCUUCUCCUCAAAUCUGUUUCCAUGUUCAAUAUCUUCCCCAUUCCCAGCUCCCUCUAGUCUGUCUUGAAGUGUCAUGGUUUACCCUAUUCCUCAACUCUGGCUAUAACAUGCAUUUUUUUUUUCUUUGUGGCACUGGGAAUAGAGCCCAAGGCCUUGUACUUGCUAGGCAGGUGCACCAUGAUGCAGGUCUUAAAUCUGCUAUGAUACUUGUGCUGAACAAUAACGACCAGGUUAUCACUGCACACAAGAGAGUGUGCUGACCCUGUCAGAUUGCUUUCUCCAAGGAUCCUCAUAUAAUCACACAUAUUGGGUGAUACUACAAUUUGUUAGUUUUAACCAAAGCCAUCUAAAUAGCCCAAUCAUUUCCUUCUAGCUGGAGGACUCAAGUAAAAGUGUUCCAGCUGUAGUGGAUGGUGCUUAAACACAUGAUGCUUUUAGUUUUUAUUCAAAUGAAUUUUCCAACCAAAGCUUCAGGCCUAUUUGAUAUUUUGACUAGAAUUCUCCACUCUACUACCACUACCAAAUAAUCUGAGAAAAUUAGGUGAAUUUGCAGCAGAUGUAAAUAUGAGGAAACAAGGAGAAUCCAUACCUAAAUAUUUAUUUUACAAGUCUCAGAAUUAGAAAUGACCACAAUUGAUUCAUUUAAACAAAACCCUCAGUCAACUGAAUGGCAAAUAUAGGGAAAGAGGGAGGAAGAGGGAGAAGGGAAAUGCAAAGACACAGAAGUGGCUUCUGGAUAAAUAACAUUUUUAUGAACCCAGGGGUGCUUAACCACUGAACCACAUCCCCAACACUUUUUAUUUUGAGACAGUUCUUACUAUGUUAAUUAGGGCCUCACUAAAUUGCUGAGGUUGGCUUUGAAAUUGCCAUUCUCCUGCCUCAGCCUCCUGAGCCACUGGAAUUACAGGCAUACACCACCAUGCCUGGCUGAAUAAGUAAAUUUCUCUUAAAAAAGAGCUACCACGAGUCCAUUAAAGAGGCAUUUCUUUCACAUCAUCAAGCGUGUUAACAAUUUUAUUGGUAUUUUUCCUUUUUACUUUCAUAGAAUUUGUAUAAAUUUGUAUGAACAAAAUCAAUUCAUACAUGAUUAGGUUCUGCUUGUAUAAUUGUAUUUUAUAGAGACUGAUUUCUAGACCCAAGGACCUCCAUAACCUGAAAUAAAAUCCUUCUAAUACCAAGGAUACAUAUCCUGCAAAACAAAUGGGAAUUUAUUUAUUUAUUUUAAAUUUUCUAAGUAGAGAACUCAUGUGUUAAUAAAAGUAUUCCAUUCAUCAUGUUAGUGGUUAGUUAACAAGACAUGGGAAAUGAGGUGAGGACUGAAUUCAGAGAGAAAGAUCACUGUUUAUGGCAUUUUGAGUGACGAUUCAUUCAACAAUUGCAGUUUCUUUCCUCCAUAUUAAAAAGAAAAAAGAAAUUAAAGGGACUAAAUUAUCCUUCCUAGACUUGCAAAGAAUGCCAUCCAGACAAUUUGGAGGAGGUGGGGAAGGGGAGCUCUGCUGUCCUAAGACUUUAGCUAUAACCUUCCACAGGGAUUGGAGUAGAGAGAUUCACUACACAUCUGCAUUCCAGCAACCCACUCCCACAUGGAAGCUGCUAUUCCCUAGUGCCUGUUACUAAAUAUAGCUCCUGCAAUUCAGACUGACAGGAGAGCUCCUGCUGCUAUACCAGGAGCCAGCCUUCACUUCACACACUCCUAAUAUGGUCAGCCCUGCAGCCUGGCAGCCUGGGAGCCAGUGAGGGCUGCACACCCUUCCAAAGGUUAACCCUUUUGUGGAUGACAGAAGGGAAGCUACACUGACCACUGGCAGCUGCAGAUUCUCUGAUUACAAAAUAAAAUGGACUGGAAAUCUAGAAAUGAGAAUCCAGUCCACUUCCCAAAUAAAACUGUUUACAAUGGGUAAGCAUUAGAUCAAGGAAACAGGGCAAGGUGAUCUGCAAGAUGAACAAGUCCACAGGGCAUCCAAAUGGAACAGAAAAAAAAUAAAUAAAGGCAGGGAAGAAAACAUACUCAGGAGCAGGAAAGGCAUAGAAACAGGGACAGCAGGGGGACUGAGAAGGGCGAGCCACUCCCUCCCUGUGUUGUCUGCUCUCUGACAGCAGCUGCUGCCCAAGACAAAGAGGAAAACAGGUGUCCUUGCAGGUUUUUUACAACAGAUUCAAGCAGAGAGCAGAGGAUGGACCACUCGAUCUGCUUCAAACUCUUUGGGGGCACCACCAUGCCAAAGCCUGGGACAGUCCUGCAUUUCCAAGGGUUUAACUAGGGCUAUGAUUUUUGAAGGAAUAAUAAGAAAAAGGCAGCCUAGUUCCCCUUAAUAAUUCAGUACCACUGGGGUGAAAUAUUAAAAGUCUCUUUCUUCCUCCCCAGGAUGAAGCCUCUCAGGACUGGCAAGUUUAUAACUGAGAGAGGUGAUAUAUAUGAUAAAUAGAUGUACAUCAUGCCAGUUCUUCUCAGUGCCCCAUAGGCUCCCAUCUUUUCGGCAGUGUGUUUACAGGAAGAUGGGAAGGGUAAGGACUCUUAUAAAGUUACCAAGUUUUAUUCCAUCAAGGGUUCAAAUGUGAGAACUCUUGAAUAUGGGUUGGCCCUGCUCCUCACUGCUGGCCAGCAAAACUGAGCCUGUUUGCUUUGAAGUCCUAUACUAUAUAAACUGCUUUCCACAUUCUUUGUCAAGGUCAGAGUCUCCAGAAGGCACAUUGGAGGAGGCUUUAAAUUUGAACUGAGACAGUGGUUGGGUGAUUUGUGACAACUAGCAAGGACCUAACUCUGCCAGCUACCAUUUUCUCCCUAGUGAAAUCUGGUUGUGUUUGUGGAGUGAAUUUCUCUGCUCUCCAUCCCCACCCAGCUCUGUGUCUGCUCCCUUUGCAGCCCAAUCUUCAGGCUGCACAGGGGUGUCCUUUGCUGAGGGCCAGGUGGAGACCUGUAGGGAAAAUCUCCCUCCUUCCAUAGAGACAUGGCCUCCCUAGCUUUGCUAGGGUAGUGAAUAAAGAUAGAAUAAUGAAUGAAAUAAGAUCACCACCUGCAGCCUUGGUAGGGCUACGGGUGGCUCUGUCCCUUCCGGGAUAGCCUCUGCCACCUCUGUUCUUUUUUCCUCUCCUCCAGGAAACCCAGACCUGGCCUUCAAGGUCACAUCCUGCCUACAUGUCUGUGUCUCCAGGAUUGGGUGGGCAGAUAUGUCUGCUACCCUACCCCCAAACCCUACCAUCGUCACACACUGCUCUCUUUUUGAUCUUUGUCAUUGCAGAAACUCCUAAGCAGGAUGCUCAGUUACCUCACAGUCUUGGCUUUGGGUUUAGAGGAAACCCCUUGUAAAUCAAAGAAUCAAACUAAUUAACUAUUUUUUUGCCCUAUGUUUUUGGACACAAUAAUUCUAAAAUUCUCCUUAAAUCAGCGUGGAAGCCUCAAGCAGCUACCCAAAGUAUCAGGAAGAAAGAAACACAUGAAAUCAAUAUAUAAUAUCUGAUCUUCUACCAGCUGACCAAUCUCUAUUACAAAAGGGAUAAAUGGUCACCAACUGGCAGAACACCAAGAGAAAGUUAAAAGCAUCACUUUGUUUUCAAUAAAGCAUAGAUUUAAAAAUAUUAUUUUGUCAGAACUUGUGUAACUGUGCAUAUUUGUAACCCAAGGGAAAAUAUUUUUAAAAAGAGGCAGGGAACAAAGUGGUCACAGUGAACUCCACUAACUCAUAACAUCAAUUCUACAUCUGAACUUGAGAACACCGGUCCCACACCACCCCCAGGGAUGGGGAGACUCCCACAGCAAGGGUUUGGGUGCUUUGUACCAGUAGUGCCAGGCCCUAAAAAAAUACUAAACAUAAAUCUAACAUGCUCCUAUUUACAAAUGAUUUAUAUUGGAAAUUAAUAUUAACCAAUGGGAUUAAUUUGCUCCAUACAAUUGUAUUUUGAGUUCUGCUAUAUAUCAUCUUGUUAUAGCCAAUGGAGGUACUAUAGUAACCAAAGUGUUCUUACCCUUUGAAGCAUUUGUUGGUUAAACAUAAAGAAAAAAUACUAAUUUUGAUCAUAACUGUAAAGAAAAAUAAAUCAGGUAACAGGAUAAGUUAGAAAAUACUUGAAAUAAGGAUACUAUUUUAGAAAGUAUGGUCUGAAGAGAAAGAAUUCUCUGAAAAAGGAACAUUUUGAGGUAAGAUAGGCCUGAAAAUAUUAAGGUCCUGAUACAAGAGUCAGUUUAGGAUGUUUGAGGAACAGAAAAAACAUUUCAUGACUUGAGACAGACAGGAAAAAGAGGGAGAGAAGUCAGAAUGGUUGGGAGGUAAGAGCCGGAAAAGACCACAAAGAAGUUGAAUUUUUUUAUUCUAAUUUCUAUGGGAAAAAAUGAGAUUUUACCAGGGAAGGGAUAUGAUCUGAAUUCUAGGCUAAAUGCCAACAAUUUCUAUAGAGUGUUCUAAUAAUUGUUAAGUAGCUCUAUUAUCCAAAUGAUGACAAUGCAGGUACCCAGAUACCUGCUUGGUGUUCCCAUAUCAUCACAUAACUCAAGAGGCUCUUAAAAUUCCAGCCUCUUGAAGUUUGAAACUUCUGCAUCACAGCAACCUGAGUCCUUUCAGGAGUUGACCCACAUUGCAGAAUACCACAGAGGAAUGUUCUUUUCUUUUCCCUCUGGGUCAGAAACCAGUAAGGAUCUUCCCCUCUGAUUAUAUCCAAGAAAAUCAACAGCCCCUGCUACCAACCUAGAUAAAUGAACUGACCUACCAAGUUACAGGGAAGACCUAUGACUCUGACCUUGGUACCACAAUUCAGGUUCUAGGAUUGAAGCAAACAAAGCCAAACUGGUAAAGACAAGCAUGUUUCCUAUUUCAGACAUCAGGCCUGGAAACACAUUGUUCAUAAAUACAAUGACUUCAGUAGCUGUCCUUUGGUUGAACUUUCUUUCCUCUGCUUUUGGCUACUAUCUUGAUGGCUUUUUUAUAGCUCCUGAUACCAUAGCUCAUUAGCUCUUAAAUGAAAUAUCUACACUGGAUUUUUUACCUGCCCAUGUCUAAAUAGCUUCUGAUGACUUAGGGAAUAAAAGAAGGGACUGACUGUAUUUAACUUGGAAUGGUAUGAAUAUGUAUAUUUUGGGGUAGGUAUGCUCUCUUUAGGGUUGACACCUAAACUUUCAAGAGCUACAAAUGAAAAAAAUGACAUGCUUCCCAUGCCACAGUGAAGCCUCAAGGGUCUCAAUAAAACAUCACUUAAUAUUCAGGAGAUUUCUUUCAUGCAUGCCGUCCUUAAUCUCAGGCUACUGAGAGGGUUAGUGGAAGCACUCCAUGAGCAGAAGCAUAAAUCUCAAGUCUAAUUAGUAAUGCUAUUCAGCUUUAAGACAAGCUCACAUGCCCUUUGUAGGGCUUUGAGUUGAUAAAGCCACUGGAUCAAUAUCAGUUGAAAGGUUGUUUUUCUCUGUUCACACAUGGAACCCGACAAAGGAAAGAAUUCUUCCUAGGAAACAGCAGGGAGAUCUAUUUCUUCAGAAGUGAGUGAACAUAUAUAGACAAUGGCCAUUUUUCACAAUAAACAUUAGCUGAACCAUUACUUUAUAAAGCACAGAUUUAUUGGGUGAGUUUGUGUGAAUGUGUGCAUUUGGCAAAGUUCUCAAAGGUUGUUCUUUUUUUCAUGAGAGGGGGGACAAAAAGAAAAGGCCUCUCACCAAAGGCCAAGGAAACUUUUAGCUAAGAAAGGAACUCUGAUGGCCUGUAAUGUAACCCAUGGAAUAAUUGUAGCCAGAGCCAAAAAGCACAGUCAUUGGAAAGGCCUCAGUCGGUAAGAACCAGGCUGUGCUGAGGGGCCCUCCAAAUGGCUGUUCUGUAAUCUUAAUAGCCUUUACUACAAGAAAAUGACCUUGAGAUGAUUUUCAAGUCCUGAACUUCUUUAUGAAAGAAAAUAUUGGGAGGGAAUAAGAAAAUUAUGGACAGGCUUAAAAACUGAAUAGAAGAGGAAAUUCUUUUGGAGUUUAUUUAGAGAGAAAAUAGUUAAACUCUUUUGAAAUUAUCUUUUAUCUUAAAAGUAUAAAAGAGGGCCUUGGGGAGGAAAAAGAACUGGACACAUGGUCAGAUCAAGCCUUCACAGGCCAACUGCUGAAAAAAAUUAAAUUAAAAGCCAUCAAUUUAAUUAGGUCACCUCAGCACUUUGAUCAGGGAGACAAUUUACCAAGUGUGAUGUUGCUCAAUAUUUGGCUGUUAAGCUGAAGGAAGAAACAAAGAAUCGAUUGUUGUAGAAACUGCCAUUGAUAUGCACAUAGAAGAAGCAUCUAAUAAGCAGGUGGGCAGCAGGGAUGGUCACUGUACUCUCAAUUUGCAUUUGCCCACCUCACAUUCCCUUCUCAGCCUAUCCCUGUCCUGCUCUGCACCCUGGGGCCUGGCCCCCACAAACUUCCAGGAGCUGCUGGCUUCUGGGUGGGUUUCAUGCUUGCAAGUGGGAAGAGAGACCUGCUUGAGUAUUUCUUCUCUGUUCUGUCCUCUCUUUCCACUGCUUAUCUCUGACAUGUCAGCAUUCUUUCAGGUCACUGUCUCCAUCACUAUAGUCCUCAGUGGGCUCUGAGAACACAAUUCCCGCCGACACCCUGUCCUUCAGCGCUGCUGGUGAUAAUGGCUUUCAUCCUCACUGAUCUCUGGCUGCCUCACCAGCCCUUUUUCUCCCCUCCCCACUCCUCUCCUGACAGCCACUUCUCUACAUUUGCCUCACUUAAACCUCUUGAGCUUGGCUGUUUUUCCUGCCACAACACUGACCCACAUGGUCCCAAAUACAUUUUCGACAAGAAAGACUACAACUCUAUUCUAAGUCAAAAGGCCACAGUGUGCAAUGGUCCCUAAUUUAGAUUCAAUCCCUUAAUGUGGAAAAUAAUGUCAUAUUCAGACAGAACUCAGAUUGGCAGUUCAUUGUUUUCUUGAGUCAUUUUCAACAGGAGCUCAUGUUCUUUAUAUACUUAUUCUGGAAGGUCAGGGCCAGACCCUGAAGAUAUCCACGAUAAGAUUUCCAUUACUAGGAACCCCCAAAGAAGGGAUGAAACAGCAGAGGAAAUUGUAGCAAAUUUUACAUUUGGUGUUAAGAGAGCUUAUGUUUCUAGCAAUAUUCCCCAAAGAACCAUUUAUAACCAUUUAUAAAAAUCUUGCAUUUGUUUUUCUCCCAGGUUAUGUGAUAAUCAAGAAAAAAACAGAGAGAAGAAAGCAGGGAAAGGUAGAGUUCAAAGGAUUGGAGAGGGGAAAAAGGAGACAGCUACUAAUUCUUCAGGAUCAACCCGGGCUAAACAAAUUCUCUUUUUUGGACAAUGGAAUAAUUUUACUUGCAGAAUGAUUAAUGAAUGCCAAUAUUUUUGCUUUGAAACAAGGUCCAGCCUACAUCAACAUUUAAUUUGCUACCUGGACGAGACUUCUGAACAACCAUCCUGGAUACCUCCUCCAUGCUCCUCACUCUGCCACAACCCACUGUCCUGCGACCUGCUUUAUUUUUAUCUCAAGGCAUGUGGCACUACCCAUUGUAUAUGUGUGCUUGUGAACCGUUGAUCUUGCUCUCUAAAAUGCAGUUCCCGGGGCCAGGCGUGCUGUAUGCAGAUGCACCAGAGUCAGGCUUUGUGAGCUUCAAGAGUCACACAAGCAGGGGAACCCGGCAAGGCCAGAAACCUGCAGUGGUGAUUCCUCCUGAAAGGCAGAUGGAUGAGUGGGAUGGGCCAAACAGCUGUGAUUACAUUUUGUCUCAGGAACUCUGCAUCAAAGACACUUAUUUAUUCAAAAGCAAUUCUCUCCAAAAAUUACAUUUCUUUUUUCUUGAAACCUGUUUCAGAGCUGAUCCUCAUGUUGCUAGUGGCAGAGAAUGAAGCGUCUCUCUUCCUUGGUGCUGGGUUUUCUUCAUACAAAAAUAAAAAGAAAAGGCUCCAGAUGGAGAGCCUCACAUUGUCGGCAGAUUUAGAAAAACUCCCCUGGAAUUUGUAUUGGUGGUGCAGUUUGGUGCAGACUGACAAGUGAGUAAUCUCCCAUCUUAUCGUUUUAAUUUCAGGCUUCAGAGAUGCCCAGCUCUGUUGUUCAAAGAGUUUUAUUAAAAAUUUGUGAGAAGGGAAAAGAAGUCUCUGUGGACCUGUCUGAUUUCAUUAUCUCUGACAGAGCGCACAAAUGGAGCAGAGCCGACAGAGGGUUGGAGACGGCCAUUCAUGGCACUGGGGUGAGGCAAAGGCCUCGGAAGCUCUGGGUACAGAUCACAGAUGUUCUGAUCUGCAGGAUCUCUCAUACGACCCUGAGCCUCCAUAUGUGACCUAGUGCCUACUUCCUGGACAUUAAACCACCAACGUUCUGGCCACUAGCCCCCAACUUUAACAAGUUCCACUUCCUGUAAUAUCUGUGAGUGCUCAUCUAACUGGCAAAACACAUUCUUGCUGGGCACACAGGGUGCACACCUGUAGU
Molecule: long non-coding RNA, 12036 nt
Filed under: Marmota monax (woodchuck)
Lineage: Eukaryota; Metazoa; Chordata; Mammalia; Rodentia; Sciuridae
Source: RNAcentral